Trifolium pratense (red clover) is the source of this 1518-nucleotide long non-coding RNA. RefSeq lists it as uncharacterized. The record is from RefSeq and is a predicted model, not a curated record. The transcript is spliced from 2 exons. Lineage: Eukaryota; Viridiplantae; Streptophyta; Magnoliopsida; Fabales; Fabaceae.
CCUUAAAUUUUUAAUGAAAGUUAAAGUGGUGCAACAAUGGCUGAACAGUGAGGCACUAAAGUCAGUGGAGAAACGAUGUAAAGGUGAAAUGGUGAACAUCUAAUUAGCUAAUUGAAUUGGAAAUGAUAAAACUCACAAUUAAUGCACUUGGGCUAGAAAUGCAAUUCUUAAUAAUAAUGAUGACACAAUAAUAAAAUACACACAUUUAUCUAAGCUUGACAAUUAGGAUAGGUCAAGUUACCCAAUUUUGUGAAAUGAGUAGAUAAGAAUUUGCCCUAUCAUAAUACUAUAAUUUAUCGUUUUAUCUAUCUAUCUAUUUGUUACUUAAUCAUGCAAAACCUGUCAACAUCUAACUUUGCGGAAUUGCUUCGGAGAAUGAACAACUUUAUUUGGCAUCUGUUCACUGUUCAAGAACUAUCCUAUAUGAAAAGGCAAAACCAGCAUGAACCCAAGAUAAAGGAAGACAAUAUCUGCAUUUUUCCUGAUAGAGGAAAAGCAGCUUUUGAAUCAGUGGCAAUGCAGCAGCAGCUGCAAGAGAAGCUUUGGAACAUUCAGAAUCUGAACCACGUGAUUCUGAUGAUCAUAAUAGUCAAAGCCUCCAACAAAGAAAUAUGUUGGACGGACAUGAAAACCUUGUGAAACUCGAGAAGAAUUCAACAAGGAUGCAAAUGAGAUGAAGAAGCCAACAGAUAUCUUAAGUUGCAAUUCAGCUGAUGAUGUUUUGAAGGGGCUGCUAUCUCAGUGGAGCUUAAAUUAAGGCUAAUGUUUUUGAAAAGGAGAUAGAAAUCAUUCUUCUACACUGAUACCUUCAAGGUAUGUUGCUGGUAUAGAGGUUGGAAUCAGGUUCUUGGUGACUAGAUUUGAAUACAAAGAGGUUUGAUUAGGUUGAUAUUUGACCAUUUGCAGAAACGAGGACAGAGGAAACAUGAAAACGUGAGAGUUCUACUUGAAUUUUUGUCUUCAGUGGGAUAUAGAACAUUAACAUUAGAUGAAAUCAAUCAAUAGUUAACUAUCUCAAGUUUAGAAUUGUCAGUUUAGACCAGAAUAUUAGCAUACAGGGCAAAUCAUUACUAAGUUUCUUAAAGGUGAGAUACGAGAGGUUCCUACCAUAGAAAAUGAACUUUUAGAGCUUAUUGCUUAUAUAUUUGUAUAUUGGACCUGAUUUAUGUGAAAGUGAAACUAUCAACACUUAUCAGUAGAUAUGAUGUUUGAAAAUUGAGAUAAAGAUUUGUUCCUGAAACAUGAAUACACAAGGAUAGCAUGCUAUGCAAUGUGACCAAUGUCAGCACCCAGAGAGAUAUAGACAAUAAUAUUGAACUGAGACCAUGCUCUGGUGAAAUAGGCUUGUAACAGAAAGUAGACUAAAAUCCAAAAAUCUGUCGAAUUUGUAAAGACUUACAUUACAUUGGCUAUGUAAUUUGCAUUAGUCUUUAGUAAGGUAAGAAACUGCUAAUAAUCUAUAUACCUAAUACCUGUGUUAUUGAUUAGUAAGAACAGAUUUCAGAGUUUCGAUAAAUA